This is a non-coding RNA of Gossypium hirsutum (cotton), 144 nucleotides long. The record is from Rfam. NCBI's taxonomy places the organism in Eukaryota, Viridiplantae, Streptophyta, Magnoliopsida, Malvales, Malvaceae.
UGUUAAAAAUUCUAUUCAUUUGUACUAUAAAAAAUUAGCGUUGGUGAUAGAAUGACCAGAUAUUGACACAGGACGUGCCACAUGUAUUUCAUGCUGAUGUAUAUGGAUCAAUUUUAAAUGGUAAAAAUGAAUGAAAUUUUAACA